AGUCGAGCGGACAGAAGGGAGCUUGCUCCCGGAUGUUAGCGGCGGACGGGUGAGUAACACGUGGGUAACCUGCCUGUAAGACUGGGAUAACUCCGGGAAACCGGAGCUAAUACCGGAUAGUUCCUUGAACCGCAUGGUUCAAGGAUGAAAGACGGUUUCGGCUGUCACUUACAGAUGGACCCGCGGCGCAUUAGCUAGUUGGUGAGGUAACGGCUCACCAAGGCGACGAUGCGUAGCCGACCUGAGAGGGUGAUCGGCCACACUGGGACUGAGACACGGCCCAGACUCCUACGGGAGGCAGCAGUAGGGAAUCUUCCGCAAUGGACGAAAGUCUGACGGAGCAACGCCGCGUGAGUGAUGAAGGUUUUCGGAUCGUAAAGCUCUGUUGUUAGGGAAGAACAAGUGCAAGAGUAACUGCUUGCACCUUGACGGUACCUAACCAGAAAGCCACGGCUAACUACGUGCCAGCAGCCGCGGUAAUACGUAGGUGGCAAGCGUUGUCCGGAAUUAUUGGGCGUAAAGGGCUCGCAGGCGGUUUCUUAAGUCUGAUGUGAAAGCCCCCGGCUCAACCGGGGAGGGUCAUUGGAAACUGGGAAACUUGAGUGCAGAAGAGGAGAGUGGAAUUCCACGUGUAGCGGUGAAAUGCGUAGAGAUGUGGAGGAACACCAGUGGCGAAGGCGACUCUCUGGUCUGUAACUGACGCUGAGGAGCGAAAGCGUGGGGAGCGAACAGGAUUAGAUACCCUGGUAGUCCACGCCGUAAACGAUGAGUGCUAAGUGUUAGGGGGUUUCCGCCCCUUAGUGCUGCAGCUAACGCAUUAAGCACUCCGCCUGGGGAGUACGGUCGCAAGACUGAAACUCAAAGGAAUUGACGGGGGNCCCGCACAAGCGGUGGAGCAUGUGGUUUAAUUCGAAGCAACGCGAAGAACCUUACCAGGUCUUGACAUCCUCUGACAACCCUAGAGAUAGGGCUUUCCCUUCGGGGACAGAGUGACAGGUGGUGCAUGGUUGUCGUCAGCUCGUGUCGUGAGAUGUUGGGUUAAGUCCCGCAACGAGCGCAACCCUUGAUCUUAGUUGCCAGCAUUYAGUUGGGCACUCUAAGGUGACUGCCGGUGACAAACCGGAGGAAGGUGGGGAUGACGUCAAAUCAUCAUGCCCCUUAUGACCUGGGCUACACACGUGCUACAAUGGACAGAACAAAGGGCUGCGAGACCGCAAGGUUUAGCCAAUCCCACAAAUCUGUUCUCAGUUCGGAUCGCAGUCUGCAACUCGACUGCGUGAAGCUGGAAUCGCUA
Molecule: ribosomal RNA, 1294 nt
Filed under: Bacillus altitudinis
Lineage: Bacteria; Bacillati; Bacillota; Bacilli; Caryophanales; Bacillaceae
Description: bacterial SSU rRNA
Source: RNAcentral